Molecule: long non-coding RNA, 530 nt
Filed under: Homo sapiens (human)
Lineage: Eukaryota; Metazoa; Chordata; Mammalia; Primates; Hominidae
Description: HSALNT0146627
Source: RNAcentral
UUGAAGGCUGGCAACUAUAGCUUAUUUCUGUGUAUUAGCAGGUUUAUUUUCAGAGUUAUAGAAGUCCUCAUGUAAAAGCUCUCAAGUUAUUAUAAUUUCAGGGACAAAUAUUAAGUACAUAAGAAAACCUCUCAGAUAUUAUAGGCUUUGAUUGCAGUGUGAAUGGCUGACUUGAAACUGACAUCAACUACUUCUUGGGGAAGACAGCUCAACACAAAAAGGAUGUUUGUGAUCUGGAACUGAAUCUUCAAUAUCUCCAAGCAGGUAGAGCAUGGUUAAAUAAUGAGCUAUUCCCAGGUGGCACAUCAGCAAGGGUUGCACACUCAAGAUGAGUUUGAUGCUGAUUUCCAUUAUAUUCCACAGACCUCAACACAGGUGGCCGUUCUUCCUCUUCCUAAGUCAGAAAAUUUGUUCCCACCAUACCAACUUCUCUAGGUCCAUUUACCUUUUUUUUUUUUUUUUUUUUUUACUACUCUAGUCUAACAUAAUUUCAAAGAAUGAAAAAAAUACUGGUAAAAUGUAUGUAUUAA